This 360-nucleotide ribosomal RNA is filed under the name Escherichia coli. Its description in RNAcentral is "partial 23S ribosomal RNA". It matches the Rfam family "Bacterial large subunit ribosomal RNA", at positions 2589 to 2925 of the family's 2925-position model. The record is from RNAcentral. Lineage: Bacteria; Pseudomonadati; Pseudomonadota; Gammaproteobacteria; Enterobacterales; Enterobacteriaceae.
UAAAGUGGUACGCGAGCUGGGUUUAGAACGUCGUGAGACAGUUCGGUCCCUAUCUGCCGUGGGCGCUGGAGAAUUGAGGGGGGCUGCUCCUAGUACGAGAGGACCGGAGUGGACGCAUCACUGGUGUUCGGGUUGUCAUGCCAAUGGCACUGCCCGGUAGCUAAAUGCGGAAGAGAUAAGUGCUGAAAGCAUCUAAGCACGAAACUUGCCCCGAGAUGAGUUCUCCCUGACUCCUUGAGAGUCCUGAAGGAACGUUGAAGACGACGACGUUGAUAGGCCGGGUGUGUAAGCGCAGCGAUGCGUUGAGCUAACCGGUACUAAUGAACCGUGAGGCUUAACCUUACAACGCCGAAGGUGUUU